UUCAGAUCCACUUAAAUAGAAAGAAGCUAAUUAGAUUUCUAGUCGUCAAAUGAUAAUCAUUAUGGUUUCUUCUGAUAAUCAUUCCUCCAAAAACCGUUGUAGUUUCUUGACAUUCACUACCUAAACAAUGUAGCAGAAUAUCAUAUAAAAUGUUUGCUAAAUAGGUUAAAUGAAAGAAUGGAUAAGAAUAACCAUCUCAAAAAUCUGCAAAUGCUGGCUGUAUAAUAUAUACCCACAUAGGAAAGCCCGAUAUGCAUGAGUAAACCAAUUAAAGUGCCCUAAGAGGAUUAGACUUCAAUAUAUAAUUGCUUUGACCUCAAUUUGAUUUUGAUUUGCCUUUAAAAAAGGAAGAAUUGAAAAAAAUACUGACACAUUUAGCCCCUCUACUGUCACAAUUUCUAAAUCACAUGAAUCUAAAAGUUUGGUUAUUUAACUGAAUUUUUAAAAUCAUCUAACUCUAUAUUUUCAAUUUUGAGAAUUAUGGUAGAUGCAUCAAGUGUGCUUGAUUGUGAAACAUUUUGAGGAAUUACAGCAUUAACAUGAAAUAUAAAAGAAUUAAAAAAACAUAAAUAAAUGCAUAGUUUCAAUAAAUAACAGGAUACACAGGAAAGACAGCAUCCACUUCUUGCUAAAACUUCGAUACAUCCACAGCAGGAUAUGACAAAUUACAAGAGCACCAACACCGAUAAACAAGUAGAGGAACAUACAAAGAGUAAUUUACUUAAGAGAAAUAAUGUUUCUAACAUAAAAGAAGAUGAAUGUGUAACUUAUGAUGGAAGGCAUAAAAGAAGAAAGAUUUUAGAAGAACCUACAAAAUUCAACUUCAGCGGCGACAAAUAAUAAUGCCUACACAGCAUUUGUGAAAUGUUAGUAGAAGUAUGGCUGUGCAUUUUUUGUAAAGAGGAUAGAUGAAAGCAAUCAAACAAAAUAUAUCUGGAAAAAAUCAGAAUCAUGGUAAUAAUAACAAAUUUGUAUGAGAUGGCGGUAUAUUUUCAAUAAACAACUAUAACACAGAUGACACCAGCUAUUUUUUUUUAAAGAGAUUUAGAAAAACCACAAGGAAAAUAAGACAGAGAUAAUACCUUGGCAAGGGAGAUAUCUUUGUCUUUGAAACUUAAUGAAAUUUCUUAUGUGAAUUUAUCCCAUGCAUGUUUAACGAUCUGCAACAAGUAAUUUCAUUAGAAAUAUAAGAAGGAACGGUAAAAAAACAAAACAAAGAAACGAAUGGCCAUAAUAGCAAACAUGUCUGUGAGAAGAAUGAACAUGCCUGCUUUUUCCAAAUUGUUGUCUCAGCACAACCUUUUCCAUUAUGACUUCAGUCUUCAAGUGUGCACUGUAAAAAUAAACAUGGAUAAAAAACUAGGUCUUUUAAUAGAAUUUGUUCUCUUAUCUAAGGGAAUGAAUAGAACUAAAAAGUAACAAUGAGAAAAAUACCUGCAGUUGUGAUAAAUAUUCUCCAGAUUCAAGCUCAAAAGUUAAUUCUACACACUACAAUAUUUGCAUUACAAAGUGCAAAACUAGUACUUUUUCAAAAUGAUAUUCAAUAUUUUUUUGUGAAAUCCAAUUUCCUCAAUAAAAACAACCAAGCAUAUAUGGAAGUCAUAAGUUACACUUAAAUUGAUCACAUAUAGCAUAACCAAUUACAUAUCGAUGCAUUAAGAUCAAGCAAGUUAUAAUUUUAAUAGUGUUAUACAUCUUUAUUCCAUUGGGAAAUUUCAUAAGUAAAUCGACAAAUAUUACGCAAAAUAUGUCAUCACCAGCAUAAAUUUUGUAUACUUUUUCUUGAUCCUCAUCUGUCCAGCUACUCUGUUUGAUCCACUAUAUAAUAAAAACAAAAUAAAAUCAGUCUAUAAUAAAAUAAAUCUAUAAUAAGAUAAAAUAAAAUUAGCAUAUUUUAAAUAAACAUACAUUAAAAUUUUCAGGAUGAGCAUCCAUAUUUCUAAUAAAUAUUAUCAAGUCUCUAUAAUUGUCUUGAUAAGAACGGUUACGUCGAAAGCUAUUGACUUCUCUAAAUAAUUCACGAUUGACAUUGCUAAUUCAUGUUUUCUUUAUAUCAUGGAAACAGUCAGAUAUAUACCUAACUCUGUAAAAAUAAAAAUAAAAGAAUUGAUAUUAGUUUAAAAGUUCAACAAAUAUAUUAUAUUCUAUUAUUAAUUUAAAAUACCUAUAUUCAUGACCAUAUAUCUUAAAAUGUUCAUUCAACUUUUUCAAAGUCUUCACUUUUUUUGUUGUGACCACAAUGUUGGAUGAUUUGAAAGAACAUCGAAUAUUCUACAAUUAAAAAUAAAUAUUAUAUGAAUAUUUCAUUUUUAAUAUAUAAUAUAAAUUAAAAAUAAAUAACUUACGAGUUACAUUUUUUUAUGCUUCCAAAGAAAUGUGUAAAAGAACUUCAAUAUUCUUGUAACGACAACCGUCGAUGAGCAUACAAAUCAGAGAAAAAUUCAUCUAACAUUGGUAUAAAUUCGUCUAACAUUGGUAUCAUUUGAGAUAAAUUCUAAUUUUAAAAAUCAAACUAUCAAGAUCAAACUAUAAUAAAAUUAUAAAAUAAAAAAUAUACCUUUAAAUUUUAAAUCCAUAUUUCUAAUAAACGUUAUCAAGUUUUUAUAAUUGUCCUGAUAAGAACAGUUACGUGGAAAGCUAUUAACUUCUCUAAAUAAUUCACAAUUGACAUUGCCGAUCCAUGUUUUCUUUAUAGCACGGAAAUAGUCAGAUAUAUACCUAACUCUGUAAAAAUCAUAGUCAGAUAUAUACCUAGGCGUCGCAUAGGCGGUCAUGCGCUCCAGGUCGGAUCCGCCUAACCCAAUAACCCAUUUAAAUGACUUAAGUCAUUUAAAUAAGAGGGUGAGGGUUUAAAAAACCUUAACUCCUCUCUUAUUUCUUCUUUCUUCCUCUUUUCUUCCCUUCCCUCCUACAUUUGAACCCCAAACCCUAGAUUUUCAGAUCAUCUCCCCCAUCCAUUUUCUCCGGCCAUCUUCUAGGGAGACUUCGGCCACCACAAGGGAACACUCCGGCGACCUCCACACGUGCUCCGGCGAAGUCCAGGCAUGCUCCGGCGACCCUCCGGCCAUCGUUGACCUAGGUAUUUUUUGUCCCAAAUUUUUUUCCUAUGUGCCCCCUAUCUGUACAAACCUAUAUCUCACUCCGGACAGUCAUAAAUCGCACUCCGGCACUCUUAAAGAACACUCCGACGAUCACUUAAAAAAACACUCAGGACAGCAAUUAAUUUACCUCUGUCCAACCACAUUAAAAUCACUCCGGGCAGUAAUUUAAUCACUCCGGACAGCAAUUUUACAUUAGAUUUUUGAAGGUAAAAACCUAAUAUUUAAAUUGUAAAUUUAUUUUACAAUUUACAUACCUAAAAUCUAACUUAGAUUGUUGGAUUGCAUUUAUUUUUAAAAUUUUCAGAAAUGUCGGAUGACGAAGAAUACGUUCCUCCCUCAAACGAAGAACAAAUAGAGGAAAACAAAGUGAAGUGACACUCUUCUUUUUCCGAAGAGACGAUUAAUAACAAAGCGAAUCGACCGAAAUCCGAUGAUCCCGGAUGGAAAUACGGUUUCAUGGAAGAUCGAACAAAUCAAAACAAUGUUCGAUGUCUUCUAUGUAACUUUCUUUCCAAGGGUGGAAUAGGUCGGUUGAAGGGUCAUCUGACGGGAGGAGACAAGAACUGUAUCAAAUGUCCGAAUGCCUCGAGAUUUGUCUCAAAGGAGAUUGCGGACUAUGUCGCCAAAAAGAAAUUAGCGGCUAGCAAACGCAAGGACAAGCUACCAUUUACUCCAGAGGUUGAUGCCAUCGAUUUAGAUGACCCUAGCAAUGAGCGAACAUUGAAGAGGAAGUUGACGGUCUCCGGUUUCGUUUCAUCGUCUCCAACCUCCUCCGUACUUGGUCCAUUAAAUUUGAAGAAAGGGGAAACUAUUCAUGAUAUCGUCCGGAAAAGGAAGAUCGAGAAACAGAAAUCCGUCGUCGAAAUUGCCAAAAAAGAAGACAAAGAAAUGGUCGAUCAUAUCUUCUCAGGUUGGAUGUACGCAGUAGCUAUGCCAUUCAACCAAGCUCAACAUAUUGAAUGCUUAACGACUUGUGAAGCCAUUGGACAAUAUGGUCCAGCAUACCGGCCUCCAAAUAUGACUCAGUUGCGAGAGUCUUGUCUAGAAAGACAUGUGGGUGACAUCGAUGCGAUGAGAGCCAGGCACGAGAUAAAGUGGAAGACCAAUGGUUGUACUUUAUUGUCUGAUGGAUGGACAGAUGUCAGAGGAAGAAACCUAAUGAACUUCUUCGUGAAUUCGACCGAAGGAUCGUUCUAUCUUUAUUCCAUAGACACCACUCAUGAAAGAAAUACAGCUUCUUACAUUGCCAAGGCAUUAGAUAAAGCUAUGCAAGUCAUCGGCCCGAGUAGUGUGGUUCAGAUAUGUACAGAUAAUGCGGCGAACUAUGUCAGUGCCGGUGAAAUAUUGAUGAACAAGUACGACCAUUUAUUCUGGACACCGUGCGUAGCUCAUUGCUUGGAUCUGAUUUUGGAGGACAUUGGGAAACUGCCAAAGUACAAGAAGAUGAUUUCUGAUGGUCGCAAGAUAGCGACCUACAUCUAUGCCCAUGGUGUUCUCCAUAGCACUUUCUUGACCAUAUCAGGUGGGAAAGAGUUGGUGAGAUGCGGAGUCACAAGAUUCGCAACGUCUUUUCUCACAUUACAGAGUUUGAAAGAACAGAGGGAAAAUUUGAAGAAGAUUGAUUGGCUACCAUGGGCUAAUGUGACUUGUGGAAGUGAAGUGCAAAAAUUAGUCUGGACCAACUCUUUCUGGUUGAGCCUAUACGAGUGUUUGGCCGUUUCUGAACCUCUAGUGAGGUUGCUGAGAUUAGUUGACCAAGAUGACAAACCAUGCAUGGGCAGAGUUCUGAAUGACUUGAAGAUGGCAAGGAAGCACACUAGAGAUAUGUUGAAAGACAAAAAUCUGCCAUUGCUAACCCAAAUUGACAAGAGUAGGUUUGCUGGAAUGCUUCUCCCAACGCUUAACCCGGAUUUCGGUCGAUUCGACAAGAUCCGACCCGGAUCCGCCUAACCCGCUCCAGCGCAUGUAGGCGUUUUGCCUACAUGCGCUGGAGCGCAUGACCGCCUAGGCGUCGCAUAUAAAACUAUGGUCAUGACCAUCGCAUGACCGCAUGAACACAUGAAAAAGCUUGGUAAAAAUCAAGGUUUAAAAACCGACGGUUAACCGGCUGACCGGUAAAAAAUUAAAAACCGGUGGCCGGUUAAUUGGGACGGGUAAAUGGGUUGAUGGGUCGGGUCUUAUCCGUACCCAACCCGAAUACCCAACCCGGUUUCAAUAAAAUAAUACUUAUUUAAUCUGUUUUAAUUUGUUUUUUUUAAAGACUUCAAUUAAUAAAGCCCAUUACGUUUUAUUAAUAAGUUAUUUUAAGGCCUCAUUUAAAGGCCUUAUUUUAAUAAGUUUAAAUUUUAUAAGCCUCUCCUUAUAAGUUAUUAGACCUCAUUUGAAUUACUAUUUUGAAUUACUUAUUUGAAUUACUAUUUUGAAUUACUAUUUUGAAUGACUAUUUUGAAUUACUAUAUUGUUUAUGAUAUUUUUAUUUAUAUAAACAGGGAUAUAAACAUGGAUAUAAACAUGGAAUAGAUAUAUAAGUAUAUAACAGAAUUUCUGUUUUAAAAAAAAUUACGAAAAUACCCCUAUCGGUUAACCAGUGGUCUAACCGGUAAGCCAGAACCGGUUACCGGUUAACCGGUUUUUAAACCUUGGUAAAAAUAAAGAUAAAAGAAUUGAUAUUAGUUUAAAAGUUCAACAAAUAUAUUAUAUUAUAUUAUUAAUUUAAAAUACCUAUAUUCAUGACCAUAUAUCUUAAAAUGUUCAUUCAACCUUUUCAAAGUCUUCACUUUUUUGUAUGUGACCACAAUGUUCAAAACAUUGAAUAUUCUGCAAUUAAAAAUAAAUAUUAUAUGAAUAUUUCAUUUUUAAUAUAUAAUAUAAACUAAAAAUAAAUGACUUACGAGUUAAAUUUAUUUAAGCUUCUAAAGAAAUGUGUAAAAGAGCUUCCAUAUUCUUGUAAUGACAACCGUCGAUGAGCACACAAAUCAGAGAAAAAAUCAUCUAAUAUUGGUAUAAAAUCAUCUGUAUCAUUUGAGAUAAAUUCUAAUUUAAAAAAUCAAACUAUCAAAAUCAAACUAUAAUGAAACUAUAAAAUAAAAAAUAUACCUUUAAAUUUUAAAUUCAUUGUUGACGAUAACGUUGUAAUAUAAAAAGUCCCUUUUUGACGAAAAUAGAAUUUGUUGUAAGCUUAAUCGGGAACAUUUCAUUACUUUCAGAGCGAGAUAAUCCAUUGAAAAUAUUUCUAUAUAAAAAAAAUCGAUUAAAAAAAAUUAACGUUAUAUAAAAUUAUGUAAUAAAAUACCUUAAUAUUUCACUCAAUGCGUUAUAAAUUUAUAAUAUGCAUCUUUUACUUCUUUCAGCUCUUCUAUAUAUCUGUAUAGGGUUAUUGUUUUUGGAUAUAUAACAUAAGUAAUACAUUUAUGCACGAAUGUAUCAAAUACUAAUAGACAGUUUUUCAUAUAAAAAAAUUGUUCAAAAGUAAAUAUUUUUAUACCAUCGAUAUUUUUUAAUAUAUAUCACUGAAAUACUCCGACUUCCGCAUUUUCAGUUAUAAGAAGAGUUGAAUAAACAUAAGCUGAAGCUGUUUGACAUAAAUACAUGGCAUUAACCUAAAUAUAGAUUUAAAUAUGGAAAUAAUAAUAAAUAUAUAAAAUAACUAAAAAAAUAUAUAUUUUUUAUUUUUUUUGAGAAAUUAAAACUUUUAUUACUGAAAAGAGGUUGGGCAUGACCCAAGAUUACAGAAUAAUAUAGGGCAAUGCAAGUACAGUAAAUGUAAAAAUAUUGUCCAUCUCUUAUGCAGCUAUAACCCUGACUAACUGGCCAAGGAUUGAAGCUUCAAGAGGUUGGACUCCCAUGAGCCUAUAGCUUGUAUUUCAAUCUGUGAAAGAUUGUGCUUUUUAUAAGAUGUAGAAUCAUAUGUAAUGCUCACAUCCUUUAUAAUUUCUCUGCUGACAAUUUCUGGAGGCCUUAGGGUGUGUUGUUUUAAUCUUCUAUUCCUUUCACACCAUAUGUGCCAGGAAAGAGAUGCUAGCAUAGUCCAGUGUACCCCCGAACAACUGGACUUGUGGGUGAAUUUUUGUAUUGUUUUCAUAAUAUCCCCUAUCCUAAUAUCUAUUGUGGGAGGUGGGGAAUUUUACCCAUUAAGUGUCCAAACAACAUUGUUAAACCAGCUAGUGGUCUCUAGUGUAAUGGCAGUUAAAGUAUAGGUGUUGUAAUGUUUCUUCCUCAUUUCCACAUAGUGGGCAUGACGUAUUUAUGUUGAGUCCCCAACUUUGCAGUCUAGUUAAAGUGUUCAAACUCUUGACCUUAAUUCUCCACAACAGCAUAAAAAAUUUUGGAGGCUUUUUGGCCCAGAUCCCUAGAUUUAUCUCUUGUAAGAUGCCUUUGGGCCUUAAUGUUUCUGAGUGCAUGGAGGAGGCAAUUUGUGUGACCCUAUAGUUACUCAAGCAGUUUAUACAUUUCCUUAUUGUUUCCUUAUUAGCUAGUAUAGUUUUCCACAUGUGUGAGUCCAGAGUAGGCCUACACUCUAUCUCCCCAAUGCUUCUUCCUUUGAUGUACCUAAUUUUUACCCAGUCUGCUAGUAUGGAGUUAUUAGGACUCCACAUCCUCUCUGUUUUUUUAACCAAAGCUGCAGCAUUAGUUGCAAAGAAAUCCCUGGCCCCUAUUCCGCCUUCGCUCUUUGGGAGUGCCAUUUUUGCCCAACUACUCCCUCUUCUCUCGUCCCAAAUGAAAUUGUAAGCUAGGCUCUGGAUCUUUUUAAUGACUGUACAUGGCAGUGUGGUUCCGUUUACCCAGUAUUGAAACUUACCUUGUAGGACCCAAUUUACUAAUUGGGUUCUGCCUGCGUAAGACAGACAUCUCCCUUUCCAUGUGGCUAACAUUUUUUCUAUUGGAUUUAUUAACUUCCAACAUGUCGCGUGAGAUUUCUUUCUUCCUGUUAUUGGGAGACCAAGAUAGUUGAUAGGGAAGGGUUUAGUUGGAAAGUUGAGAAUGUUAUGCAGAUAAUGAUCAUUCAUGCAUACUUUUGAGUAGGUUGCCGAGCUCUUCUCCUGAUUAAUCUCGAGGCCUGAGAAUUUGGAAAAAGUCUCUAGGAUUUUCUUGAUUGUUUCUAAAGACUUGGGAUUUGCUUUUGAGAAGAUCAACACAUUAUCCGCGUACAUGAGAUGCGAGAUGGAAACCACUCCAUUCACGAUAUAAGUAUCCAUCCUUUUAUCUUUGAUCUCUUUCUUUAUUAGUCUACUAAGAUUAUCCAUUAUCAGGUCGAAUAAGAUAAGAGACAAUGGAUCCCCCUGCCUGAUUCCUCUAAAGUUAGUGAAGGAGGGAGUGGGAGAUCCCUCCACCAGUACCGAAAAGGAGGCUGUGGAUAUACAGUUAUGUACCAAUUUGCACAACAGAGGGUUGAAUCCCAUUGUGUCAAGGGUGUGUGUGAUUGCUUGCCAUUUCACUGUAUCGAAUGCCUUUUUGAGAUCUAUACUUAAACAACAUCUUUUGGGGGUUCUAAUUCUCCCGAACCAUGUACCAUCUCGUCUGCCAAGAUAAUGUUAUCUGAGAUGCUUCUUCCUGCUAUGAAAGUUGUUUGGUGAUGAGAUAUUAACUCGGAAGAGACCUUGGAGAUCCUAUCAGCCAAGAUUUUGGUGAGAAGUUUAUAAAUUAAGUUGACACAGGAGAUUGGCCUAAAAUCCGAUAAUUCGGUAGUUGUGGGUUUUUUUGGGAUAAGAGUGAUAAAUGUGUGAUUAAUUGACUUCAAUAUGGGUUUGCCGCUGAAGAACUGUCUGACACAAGCUAGGAUUGUUUGCUUUAGUUCCGGCCAGAGAGCUUUGAAGAAACCCACUGUGAAACCAUCAGGUCCUGGGGAUUUCCCCAUUUGAAAUGCGAACAAGGUGGAUUUGACUUCCUCUUCUGUGAGUUGUUGAGUCAACCAUAUGUUCAUAUCUUGAGAUACAAUCCUAGGGAAAAUAACGGGAGAUGGUAUAUCUGGGAAGGGAGAACUCUUGUAGAUAUCCUUAAAGUAAUCCACACUCCUUUUUCUAAUUGGGCUCUUGAGAUGACUACCCUACCCUUUCCAUUUAUUAAUUUUAGAGUUGAGUUCUUUGCCUUAUCUUUGUAGUAAGACUAAAGAACUUAGUGUUUGAGUCUCCUAAUCUAAGCCAGCUGACCUUGCUCCUUUGUUUUUGGUUAGCCUCCUUUAUUUUGAGUUUAUUGACUAACUCCUCCUGCUUCUUUUUGACCUCUUCUUGGAUAGAAGGGACUAUUGGGCUAGUGUUUAGUUGCUUCACCAAGGAAUCAAGUUCCUCCUUAGUGGUUGUGAUCUGUUUUGCAUCACUACCCUUGGUCGCCGUCCAUUCCUUUGCGAGUAUUUUGACCUCUUUUAAUUUCUGUUGUAGGCAAUAUAGCCCAUUGCCGCAAAUUGGUUUAGCUAGUCCUCUCCUGGCUAGAUCGAGAAACUCUUGCUCCUUCAACCAUGAAUCGAACAAUCUGAAAGGCUUUGGUUUCUGUGCUAUUUGCGCAAUUGAGAUAAGCAUUGCAGCAUGGUCGUUAUGCGAGCCAUUCCAAAACUCUACCCUUAUCUCUGAAAAGAGUGAAAUCUAAUCUUGAUUCGAGAAUGCUCUAUCCAGUCUAGAUUGUACAAACCUAUCCCCUGCCUAUCCCCUGCCUGCUUAUUAUUCCAUGUAAAUUCCCCCUAUUGAGGGGACCUCGAUUAACUCUGCUAGGUCGGUAGCUUCAAUGAAUUCAGAAGGCUCUCCAUGAGCAUAAACCCCAGCCCCUGGUCCUCUCCUUUCCUCUGGAGUUCUUAUUUCAUUGAAAUCACCCAGCACUAACCUCUGGAGUUCUCCUUUCCUCUGGAGAUGAUAUUAGGUUGGAUGUUCUUAACUGUGUUCCACAACGGUCUCCUAGCUUCCCUUGUGUUGUUUGCAUAUACUACGUAGAUAAAGAACACCAAUCCACCCUCGUAUACCUUAGCAUGAAGUAUUUGCCUAUCCAACAAGAUUGGAACCACCUUCCAAUGGUCUUUUUUCCAUAAAAUCCAGAUUGAGUCUGAAUAUUCUUGGUCAUGUGGGAUGUUGUUUGAAAUUACCUCCCACUCCUCCGAAAAAUUGUCUCUUACUGUUUGGAAUUGUUUGGUUUUAACUCUAGUCUCUAAUAGCGCUACUAUGUCUAAGUUCUUUUUAAGCAUCACAUUUUUUACUUCAUUCUGGAUUAGAGGGGAGUUAACCCUCUAACAUUCCAGGUCAUUAGCGCCAUUGUUUGGGACUAAUGACCUAGCGGUGAUGGGAUGGCUUAGUCUAGUUAAUUGCCCGGGUGGCCUUUGCCACCUCUGCAAUUGGGGAAGAUUUUUUGCUCGAUGAAGCAUUCGAAGAGUUGGCUUAGACACUAAGACAUUACAUUACAACACCUAAGGCAUUACAAUCAUGUUUAUAUUUCUUUGAUGGACAAGAUCCUAUCAAAGAAACCCCCGUUUGUUGAUAUCAAACGUCUACCAAAGUAUCCCAUCAAGAGGAAGCCUUCUUUGAGCAAUGUUGGUUCGUCAUCUUCUAGAACCAAAAAAAUCAUAUCGUACGGGAAAAUUAAAGUUGAGUCUUUUAGGUUUUGAAGAGGGUCAAACAUUUGAAGAUAGAGUGAGGUCAAGAAAGACCGAGGAAAAUCGAUAAAGGAUCGUUGCUGAACAUUAUAAAGUUCAAGAUAAAACAAAAUUGUCGUUGAUUGCGGUGCGAAGUUUUUCAUCACUAGUGGUGUUGCGUUUAACCAGAAACAUGGAAUGGGAGGAAAUUUAUCAAUCUUUUAGACAAUCUGAAUUUUGGCUACAUUAAAUGACAUUAAGGUUUUAGCAAAAGUUAUUAGACGUUACGGUCUGAGCUACAUUAUACCCUCGCCUUAUUUUCGGAUCUCUUUUGGAGAAAAAGUUCAGAAUAUUUACAACCUACGGAAGAAACAUGAGGUUCAAUUUGCUAAAUAUGGAUGCAUAUUGAUGAGAGACGAAGAUUGGAGAGUUUAUUGCUAAGGGUCUGUCUAAGGUGAUUGAGACAAUCAGUAAGAAUAAUGUAGUUCAACUGUGCACCGACAAUGCAUCAAAUUAAGUUAGUGCCAAACUCUCUGUGCCGCACACGUACUGGAUCUCGUACUUGAAGAUAUUGGAAAGUAAAAUUCAUUUCAAUUCUAAAUUGAGAUCAAUAUAUUGAACCUAAAGAAGGGGUGCAUCAUGCAGCAGAUUAUAGUACUCAUCUCAUUGCUAAUGAUGAGUUUAAUGAAGAGUGAGAAGGAUCCACUGAUCUGGCUCUUAAAUGGCUUGACCCAAGUCAGGUCAUUCCCACCUCUCAUUAAGAGGAUAUGACCAAAUUGAAUAGUAGACUUUGAACACGAUAAGUUUACUGUGUUCAACACAGUAAGAUUGGCUCACUGGUUUCAGUAACUAUUGAGCUUGCUGAGGUUCAAGGAUUGAAUCUCACUGUGUACAUUUCCAUCUAGAUUUGCCCGAUGAUAUAUUAUGCGACUCUGGUAUAUCAUCCGGAGGUUUGACAGCUCUACAUCUGUAGAGAGGUACCCUCCGUUAUCAAAAAAAGAAAGAAUAGUAGACUUUGGUGAAGUUCGAUCCAUAGAUUAAAAAGCGACACUCAUCUGAUUACAAGGUUUAGGUUGCGUCAUGGCGCAUAACGUCGACAACCAGCGCUAUGUAGGCGUUUGCCUUCAUGCGCUGGAGCGGGUUAGGCGGGUCUGGGUCGGAUCCGACCCGGAUCCGCCUAACCCAAUAGGUCUGUUAUUUAUUUAUUUUUUUAAAUUUAAAUAUAAGGCCCAACCACCCAUUUAAGGCACAUUUAAAUGACUUAAGUCAUUUAAAUAAGAGGUUGAGGGUUUUAAAAAACCCUAACCUCUUUUCUUUCUUGUUUCUUGCACCUUUCUAACCCUAAAUUCAUAGAAGUCUUAUAAUCUAUGUAUUUACAUUUUAAAUUUUAGAUUAAUAGUCUAUUACUUUGUAUUAGUAAUUUCAGGUUUUAAAAUUUAUGUAUAUAUUUUUUUAAAUGUUUCUGAAUUUACCCAUAUUUUUUAGCAAAUAUAUAUAAGUUCAGGGUAAAUUUGCAAAAUUUACCCUAUUUUCAGGCGACCGCCUAGGCGUCGCCUGAAGCGCCUAGGCGGCCAUGCGGUCAUGGCCAUCGCAUGACGGUGAAGUUCGAUCUAUAACUAUAUUCAAAAUCAUCUGAUUACAAGGUUUAGGUUGCGUCAUGGCGCAUAACGUCGACAACCAGCGCUAUAGGGAGAUAGCGUGCUAUAGCCCCAAGUGUAAUUUAAAAAAAAAAUCAGAUAAAUUUUAGUGACCAAAAUAAAAAAGUAAAAUCAAACCUUGUUUAAAAAAAAAUUAAAAAUCAAGAUGAAGAUCUGAGCCUAUUUAAAAAUUCAGAUCCUUUUUUUUAAUCAGAUUAGAACAUGUUUUUAAAAAUUAGAAUUAUGAUUCUAAGAAAAUAAAAAUAAAAAAUAAAGAUUAGAAUUCAGUUUAUAGAAUUCUGAUUUAAAAAAAAUCAUCUUGCCAGCUCAUAGUUUGGGGAGAUAGCAUCGGCUACGAGGUUUAUAGCGAGCACAACUUAAACCAUAGUUAAAGCAAUUAAAAAGUAAAAUCAAUUUUUUUUAAAUAAUAAAUUAAUUAAACGGACCAGCGAUGAUCACCGGUUUAAAAUGACCAACGGCUUUCAAUUGACCUCGCCGAAUUAGAAUUGCCCAACGAGGGUUGCCAAGAUGCCACUUAUCAAUGUAGUUCCUUGUUAUUUGUUCUAGUUCUCUGUAGUUCUUGAACUCCUUGUUAUUUGCUUUGAAAUUUUCUAUCCUCCAUCCUCUGUGUGGAUGUUCUUUGCUGCUACUUGUGGGUGUUUGAAUUUUUUCUAAAAAUGUUGUUGCUUCUACUCUAAAAUCCUUGUUGCACUAAUUUCCUUUGUUUGUUGAGAUCCACAUUUUAGCAGAAGUGCCUCCAGACUGUUCCUUCAUUCCUAUUCUCCUUUUCCGACCACCUUCUAGAUAUUUUUAAGGAAUAUUAUUGCCAACUUAACUCUCCAGAAGUCCACUCCUUGUCCAGGUCAUUAUCCACAUUCUCAGAUAUCAACCUAGUGUCCAGUUGGAAUGCCUAUCUUUCUCGUCUUUAAACUAGCCUGUAGCAAGUUUCUCUUCUUUUUCCUCUUGUUUCUCGUAUUUUUCACCAGGAAAACCUUCCUAUUGCAGAAUAACUCCACUUGUAGGAUUACUAAGGGUGUGGGUGUGUAGUUGUCUAAGAAACAGAGAAUAUACCUCCGAAGAACUUGGUUGGAGUUAACUAUCCUUGGUGGACUCCGACGAGAGAUACCACUUUGGAGGUGACCUUGGGUGGGGCUGGUGGUGUAACAUGAGAUUAUCUAUAAUCGGACAUUUCUGUCGUGUAGUGUGACUGCCCAGAAUUCUUCUUCUUAUUGCACUAUUCUAUUUUUUCUAUUUAUCUGAAUAUAAUUCAUUAAUCAAACAAAUAAGUAUGACUAUUUACUAGUCACUGUUAAUAAAAAUAAUGAUAUUUAACGGAUUUCUUGCUCUACAUUCGAAGAUUAACUACCACACACAUCCGGUUAGACUUCCCUUGUUGGAAUCCACUAAAACCGAGCUGGGGUUAGCAUCUGCAAUUGAGGAGACACAAUUGCAGAGAGAUAUGGCACUGCUAACAACUCAAGUAGUAGUGAAUUGAGUGGAUUGGUUUUUCUGACAAAAAGAUACGAUGUUAAAUAGCCUCACCUGGGUUUUUUUCACCUUCCCACUAUUAAAGAUCAUCACAAUAGAUGAUUAUCAACAUAUAUUGGACAAACAUGAAAUAUCUCUUCCCUAUCAACAGAUGAUCGUAGAUAGAGAUAAACAACUUCAUAGUUAAGGAAUGUAACAUAAUAUAACAAGAUGGAAGGAACCAAAGGUCUUCGACAGAAUGUAACUAUCUAUAAACAUAAGGGAAUGAGAAAAAAAAAAUAGUAAUCAGUUUUACCACCAUAUAUCAUCACUAUCAUUCAUAUCUUGGUGCGGACUUAGGUACGAGGACAUAUCCUUGAAGAUAAUGGGAAUGAGAAACUCGAACGACAAUUAGAUUAACAAAAAAGAAGACAUUUUUUUCACUAUUUUAGAGAAUAUCUAUGAAAAUGUCCAUUAAAAUUUCAAAAUAAAUGUGGAAAAAUGAAAUGACAAUAAAUAAAUAAAUAAAUAAAAGUUACCUUUUUAAUUUUAAUGUUUCCGUAAAAUAUCAACAAAUGAUGGUUGAACAAAAUUUGAUCUGUACAUGACAGAAGGAAGUUUAUCAAGAAAAAAUUAAAAAAGAAACACUGAAACACCAAAUCCUAAAUGAAUAAAAUAGGAAAAUCUCCAUCAAAUCUCUUUCUUUAAGUAAAUAUAUAUCUAUUUCUUGAAUAUAUAAAUUGAUAUUAUUAUAACUAUUUAGAUCUCUUCUCUCCUGAAAAUCCAGAGGUAAUUCCAGAUCUACGUCUAACCCCAACUCCCAAACUCUAACAUUUGAAAAAGGCAUCGAUUAGAAAAAUAAUUAAAAGAGGGGAAGAUCAGUGUCGGUGGAAAAUGCAGCAGCAGUAAUAAAAUUAAAUACAGAGACACGAUAUGGGAAAGAUGAAUAUCGGUAAUAAAAUUAAGAACAGAUCUGAUUUGACCUUUGAAUUUAUGGCAUCGGUGGUGUAUCGACGGAUUUGAGAUCUACAAAACCCUCCUCCUCUGCUUGAGUUGUGCAUUUUCCUAGUCUAGAUGGAGAAGUUGUGAAGAGUGAAAAGUGGGUUUUAUCAUAUAUUAGGGUUUUGAGACGUACAGGUUGGAUGAUAAUAAUAAACUUUUGGUGUUGGGACGGACGGGUUUUAUUAUAAGAUAAAUCCACUGGGCUUGGGCAUUCG
RNAcentral lists this long non-coding RNA (14971 nucleotides) under Zostera marina. Its description in RNAcentral is "long non-coding RNA (ZMAR_LNC001036)". The record is from RNAcentral. Lineage: Eukaryota; Viridiplantae; Streptophyta; Magnoliopsida; Alismatales; Zosteraceae.